AUUUGGGAAGAAUGUGCAUGCUUACAUGACAUGAUGUUUAACUGCAGUCAAGUUGACCUCAGUAGGGAUCAACGGGAGAACUGGACAUUCAUUGUUUCUGGGCACUGUGUCUGUGAGGGCAUUUCUACUUGUAAGUAAAAUGCAUAUUGCAGUACCUGUGGUGGCCAGGAGAGGGUGUCAGCUUCUCUGGAGCUGGAGUGAUAGGUGAUUUUGAAGCUCCGGAUAGUGCAGAAAAUAGUUCUUAGGUCCUCCGCAAGAAAAUCAAGUGCUUCUCACCCCUGAGCCACCUCUCCAGCCCCAGGAAGAUGGUGUUAGCUGUGGCUAUGUGUGGUGCAGUGGAUCACUGACAUUUGUUCCUUGCCCAAGGCUCUGCCCUUGUGGUCGGCACCCAUGUUCCCUCUGGUUAUGAGUUUACACCAUGAAACCUCUUUUGUCUAGCACCGGUGAUGUUGCUCUAGUAUCCCUCCGUCACAGGACAGUGACCGCUCAUGGAUCACAGGGACAGCUCUUGCUCACUUCCAUCUUAUACUGAUCUCCUCUCUGGGUCUCAAGGUGCUAUGUGGACCACUCUCCUGGAGAUUUGACCUUGUGGAUGACAGACAGUAGACAAGCAUGUAGAUUGUGUAGCAAUACUAAAGAGAGUAGCAGCACACGGAGAGGGUGGGAACCUUCUGUGCUGGGCAAUAAAAUAUGGCUCAUACUGAAUAUCAAGUAGGACAUUAGGUCCGUCUGCGGUAGGGUCAUGGAACCACAUGAAAAGAGUCUCGAUGUUAUUAACUCGCUAAAACUUUAGAGUUGAAGUGCAUUUAGCCCAAGGAAUGCCUUUUGUCUAUUGGCAUGCUAACAGGCUUAUUUUCUCCAUGAUCAGUUAAGGCGGGUGAAUAGAUUUCCCAACACUGAGACACCGUUGUGUUUCUGAGAUAAAGCCUGUGGCUGGUGAUGUAUUGGUUUUUUAAGUACCUUGUCGAAAGAGUUUCCAUCUUUUGUGGAGGUUCUAAAAGCUUUUAGACUUGGAAGUAAGAGGUUCCGGCGAGUGCCCUGCACACCUGCCACCUGCUGUCGCAGAGAGCUCAGCCUGCCUUAUUUUUUCCCCUUCAGGCAAUCCCUGGUUAUGUUUUUUUAAAAACAAGCCUUUCUUUGCCACUUAUGCUUCAUCGUGACGUAUUCCAUAUUGUUUUCUUACGAUUAUUGUUCCUUCCCUUUUAUAUUUAGCAGGUUUGUUGCAUUCUUAAAAGAAACAUUUGUCUUCUUUAUCUCCCUCCUUUUUGUUUUUACAGCUUCUUUGAGAUAAGACUGAUGUGUCUGCUUAAUGAAUACCAUAUUUAAUUUUGAAGCAUUUUGACACAUGCAAUGAUGCCUUCGUCACACAGAAACCUUCCACCACCGUUGUCUCCCUAGACUCCCGUAUCUCCUGCUCCCUGCCCAGCUUCCCCACAAGAGGCUACCUGCAACCAGAUCUCUGUCACUGUGCCUGUGUCGGAAGUUUCCCAUAAGUGGGAUCAGACUGUCCUUUUCAUCAUCAGUGAGUGUGACAUUUUCAAUGCAUCUGAGUGUGACAACUUCAAUGCAUCUGUCCUGCAGACUGCACAGAGCUGACUCUUUUCUUUGCUGACUAAUACUCUAUCCAGUUGUCGGCUUGUUUAAAGACACGCAUGCAGUCCAGUGUUGUCUUCUGUAAAGGUGCUAUGAACUUUGCCCCACACAAGUCUUUCUGGAAGUUAACUGUUCCCCUGUGAAUAUCUGCGAGUCAGUGGGUUACACUACACAGUAGGCACCAUGUGUAACUUCCCAGCACACACACACACACACACACACACACACACACACACGCAUCUACAUACAGACCUAUUCACACACAGGUAUAUAAACAGUAUUGACUUCCAAAGAAUAUAUACAGAAGAAUAUCAUUAUCAGCCACUCACUACAGGGCCUGUUUGUGUUCUUUUAAUGCUUGAAGAUGCAGAGAAACUUUUCAGAGCUCAGUCCCCAACCUAAUGAUUUUGGUAAGUGUCUUUAAUGCUUUCUCUUGUUUAUUUAGUAGGAGGCCACACCCCCUAAUCAUGCCACGCCCCAUGGGCCAAGCAUUCAAACACACGAGUGUUAGGUGUCUUCCUCUUUCUAUUCUCCAAACUGCUUUUUGAAAUAAGGAUUUCUUACUAAAUCUAGUUCUUAGAGAUUCAGCUAGACUGCCUCACCAGGGAUCCCCCUUUCCCUGCCUCCCAAGUGCUGGACUUACAGUUGUGCAUGGCCAUGCCAGCCUUGGGAGCUAGGGAUCCAAGCUCAGAGCCUCAUGUUUGUGUGGUAAGCACUUUACUCCCCCCCCCCCACCCACAGUUUCUAAUGUCUUUAAGCCGACUUCAAUUAUGGGGACACAAAUCACACUCAUUUCAUGAUAUUGGUAGCUCCUGUGCCAGGCACUAACAACAUUUUAAAAGAUUUAUUUAUUUUUAUCGUCUAUGUAUGAGUGUUUUGCCUGAAUGUGUAUCUGUGUACCUUGGGUAUGCCCGGUGCCUGCCGCCAUCACUAAGGGACAUCAGAUGCCUUAGAACUGGAGGCAGGAAUGGUUCUGAGCUGCCACAUGCGAGCUGGGAAUCAAAUCCAGCAGCAAAUGCUCUUAACCACUGAGCCACCUUUCCAGCAUCCCAAAACACUCUUCUUCCCGACAAGCCCCUGGCCACAUAGGUCUGAAUGUCGGACCCCAGGCCUGUCUGUCACUGGAUCUUGAAGACAUUGAACUUUUAUGGCUAGUUAAUCAGCGAGCAUCUCCAAUUUUGUUCUUUUUCAAAAUUGCUUUAACUAUCUCCUUUCAUUUCUACGUACACUUGUAGAAUCAAGGGAGCAAUCUCUUUAAAUAAAUGGGGAAAAAACAAAUAUAUAUUAAUAUGUGCAGCAACAUUUUCCAAGACCACAGUGGCUGAGUAGAUGAGUUUAGCAGAUUUUUAUCUCAGCAGUAGGCUCUCUCCAAGCCACGAGCAAGUACAUCUUCCAUCUAUGUGCGACUUAAGGCAAUUCUAGCAGUAGCUUGCCAUAGCAUCUUGCCCAUCUUUUAUCAAAAUUAUCUUUAGCCUCAUGCUAUUUAAGUAUUGCUGUUUUUCCAUUGCAAGCUCCGGGGACACAUCAUUACUUUGUGGAAAUAAAGCUGGUUCUUAUAUAUUGGCAUGUGGCAGGGAGUCACAUAUCAAUUCCAAUGAUGGCUCUGUGGGUUACUCGAGGUUUGCUAGACAGAAUACUAUGUACUCCGAUGACAACCUCGCUCAUUCUCUCCCAAUCCAUAUGCCUUUAUUUUCUGUGCCAAGCUAAACUGGCUCAAAAUUCAAGUUCAACACAGACAUGAGUGGUGAGACAGAUGUUUUUGCAUGCUUCCAGUCUCAGGGGAUACGCAUCUCUACCCCAGUGAUGUCAGACAGUUGGCCUCGCUUCCACCUUUAUGAAUCUGGGGUAGCGCCAUUCUAUUUCCAGAUUCAUUUAGUCUUCUGGUGAAUGGAUGCUGGAUUCCUUCAAGGACAUUUGCUACAUUUUCUAAACUGAUAUUCUCUUGUGUUUCUCAGCCAGCAAAUAUGAUGGAUUGUGGUUGAAUGCUUUACAAAGGUUAGCCAAGUCUAGUAGUCUUGAGGAAAACUCACUGGAGUCUUCUCCUAGACUGGUGUGUGUGUGUGUGUGUGUGUGUGUGUGUGUGUGUGUGUGUGUAGAUGUGCAUGUGGUUUCUCUCUUUCCACUUCUAAAAUAUAACAAGUAGAGACAUCUUCCCCCUGAUGUUGGUGUUGAAUCCCAUGCCUGUUCAAUCAGUCUGGCUCAUGGCUCUCAAAUUUCACUGCUGUCUCCUCACAGCUAGUGUACGAUAUGAUUCAGAGACUCCACACCUACGUACUUACCAAAAGCAAAGCACAUUCCACCAGAAACCGUAGCGCUGUCCCACCCCAGCCAGUGUGCUGAAUACACAGCUGAGAGCUGCCCCAUCUCCUCAGGGGGUGGGCAUCUGAGUACCCCACCACCACCCUGUGUACUCAGCAAUGAAAAAUGAGAUACACCAAACCAGAAAUGCAUUUGAAACCAAAAACUGGCAAAUUAGUAGUGACA
RNAcentral lists this long non-coding RNA (4077 nucleotides) under Mus musculus (house mouse). Its description in RNAcentral is "long non-coding RNA chr15:87940873-87944950". The record is from RNAcentral. Lineage: Eukaryota; Metazoa; Chordata; Mammalia; Rodentia; Muridae.